UUCCGGUUGAUCCUGCCGGAGSCAUUGCUAUUGGGAUUCGAUUUAGCCAUGCUAGUCGCACGAGUUCAGACUCGUGGCGAAUAGCUCAGUAACACGUGGCCAAACUACCCUUCGGAGCACGAUACCCUCGGGAAACUGAGGCUAAUAGUGCAUACCACAAUCCAGCUGGAAUGAGGAUUGUGCCAAACGCUCCGGCGCCGAAGGAUGUGGCUGCGGCCGAUUAGGUAGACGGUGGGGUAACGGCCCACCGUGCCAAUAAUCGGUACGGGUCAUGAGAGUGAGAACCCGGAGACGGAAUCUGAGACAAGAUUCCGGGCCCUACGGGGCGCAGCAGGCGCGAAACCUUUACACUGCACGCCAGUGCGAUAAGGGAAUCCCAAGUGCGCAGGCAUAGAGCCUGCGCUUUUGUACACCGUAGGGAGGUGUACGAAUAAGGGCUGGGCAAGACCGGUGCCAGCCGCCGCGGUAAUACCGGCAGCCCGAGUGAUGGCCGAUCUUAUUGGGCCUAAAGCGUCCGUAGCUGGCCGCACAAGUCCAUCGGAAAAUCCACCCGCUCAACGGGUGGGCGUCCGGUGGAAACUGUGUGGCUUGGGACCGGAAGGCGCGACGGGUACGUCCGGGGGUAGGAGUGAAAUCCUGUAAUCCUGGGACGGACCGCCGAUGGCGAAAGCACGUCGCGAGGACGGAUCCGACAGUGAGGGACGAAAGCCAGGGUCUYGAACCGGAUUAGAUACCCGGGUAGUCCUGGCCGUAAACAAUGUCUKUUAGGUGUGGCUCCCACUACGGGUUGGUGCUGUGCCGUAGGGAAGCCGCUAAACAGACCGSCUUGGAAAGUACGUCCGAASGAUGAAACUUAAAGGAAUUKGSGGGGGAGAAUAAAACCGGAGGGCCUGSGUUUAU
This 900-nucleotide ribosomal RNA is filed under the name uncultured archaeon. Its description in RNAcentral is "bacterial SSU rRNA". It matches the Rfam family "Archaeal small subunit ribosomal RNA", at positions 1 to 904 of the family's 1478-position model. The record is from RNAcentral.